AUGAAUCUUGACUCACCAUUUCAGGACUUGCAGAAUGAUAUUCAGAAAUGGGCUCAAACAGUGGGCCUGCCUCAUAUUGUGACUGACUGGACCGUUUAUAGUCUCCGAAUGUUUAUCAAUGCCACCAACACGCUGAAUAUCUCUUAUGACUACCUUGCUGGGUUGCCUCCACUCGAGAAAAGUAAGUACCAGCAAAAGGUAGAUCAAAUACAGGUAAUUCUUGACUUAUGACCACAAGUGGGACCAAAAUUUCCAUCAUAAGAUAGUGCAGUCAUAAAAGGAGUCAUCACAUGACCAGACCCAAUUUUAUAACCAUUUUUACCACAGGCAUUUAAGUGAAUCAGCAUGGAUAUUAAGCAAAUCAUGCAGUCAUUAAGCAAAUCCUGGUUCUCCAGUUGACUUUCCUUAUGGAAAGCCACCUGGAAAGGUUACAAAUAGCAAUCAU
Molecule: long non-coding RNA, 445 nt
Filed under: Naja naja (Indian cobra)
Lineage: Eukaryota; Metazoa; Chordata; Lepidosauria; Squamata; Elapidae
Description: lncRNA (ENSNNAG00000017241.1)
Source: RNAcentral